Molecule: long non-coding RNA, 490 nt
Filed under: Dermacentor andersoni
Lineage: Eukaryota; Metazoa; Arthropoda; Arachnida; Ixodida; Ixodidae
Description: uncharacterized LOC126548029
Source: RNAcentral
UUAAGACCUAUGUUGUUCAGUAGCAACACCUUUGGCGCCCAAGCACUUAUAAUCAUAUCUUGCAUUGUUUCUUUCAUAAUUUUUUAUAAAAACAGCUUGACUAAUGUUAGGUGAGACACAUGGUAUACAUUAUGUGCAAUAUCGUAGCCAGGAAUUUUUUUUGGGUGACUGCUACAUGACUUUGCAACUUGGGCAGUUUAAGCCAUCCCCCUCCCCGGCUUUUCCAGGUGUUUAGAAUUGAAUUAACCCCACUUUCCCCAGUUUUCCAGGUUACUAACUCCCUUCUAUUCUUCCUACGAGCUUUGGGAGAGAGCACCAAUCGGCUCCAACCUCGACGACCAACGCCUGGUGGUGUUGAGGGCUGUACAAGCCGGAAGGUCAAGGCGUCUUUGGACUGAAGACUCCUCCCCACUGCUUUGUUGCAAUAAGGAUGUUUAUUCUCUCUCUCGAUUGCCCUCAGAGUUUCUAUAUAAAGGCCUUCAAGUUUGGC